GGGGGCCAGACGGCUAUUGCGGUUAACGGGGAAGUAGGCCAAUACUUCCGUAACAAACGAGGGCUGCGUCAGGGCGACCCAGCCUCUCCGCUCCUCUUCAACUUCGUCGCCGACGCCUUGGCUGCCAUGUUAGACAUGGCACGUGUGGCUGGCCACCUUAGACGGGUUGCCUCCCAGUUGGUCCCGGGAGGAGUAUCCCACCUGCAGUACGCAGACGAUACGCUGCUGCUGUUCGAACCUGACAGACAUAGCAUUGCUACGGUCAAGGCUAUACUGUUGUGUUUCGAACUAAUGUCGGGGCUAAAAAUCAAUUUUCACAAGUUUGAAGUGGUUGCCAUGGGGAUGGGGCCCGACGAUAGUCAGGAGGUGGCGGAUCUGCUUAACUGUAAGUUGGGAUCUCUGCCACUUCAAUACUUGGGGCUUCCUACCAUCCAGGAUUGGGCCCCGUUAUGCAAUACGGUGGCUGGCCGGGUCGGCCCUUGGCGAGGGAGAUUUAUGUCGUCGGGUGCACGGCUUAUUCUAACUAAUUCGAGUCUCUCCUUGAUCCCUAUUUUCACCAUGGGGAUGUUUCUGCUUGCCGAGGGUGUGCAUGCCAAGCUGGACACACCUAGGUCUUGUUUCUUCUGGGAAGGCGCCAACAUCAAAAGGAAAUCCCACCUAGUCAAAUGGGCGGCGGUGUGCCGUCCUAAGUCCCAGGGGGGUUAG
This 705-nucleotide ribosomal RNA is filed under the name Triticum aestivum (bread wheat). RNAcentral describes it as "partial small subunit ribosomal RNA". The record is from RNAcentral. Lineage: Eukaryota; Viridiplantae; Streptophyta; Magnoliopsida; Poales; Poaceae.